AUGCGUCGGCCGCGUCCGUAAAACGCCCUCGGUCCCGUUUGAACAAUUGCUAUGCGCGCGCAAAGCGUCCGGAGACGAAUCUGUAAUGCUUACCUUCAUGGGCCGUUUUGUCGGCUUUUAAAAACGUCGAUGGUUUCGACGGUGUGCGCGCAUUUGGGUACGCGGAAUCGCACUUUUAUUGGUACACGCGGUUAGAAUGCCGUCCCGAAAACACGCGCACGUGUAGGUGACCGAGUGCGCGCGCACACACCGGUCCUCGGCGGCGGCGACGACGUUACGGGACGAAUAUCGGAAUCUGUAAUAACGUUACGUACGACUACGAUGAAUCGAAACCGCGUCUCGGCACUGUAUACGAAAUCCGCGGACGGAACUCGCGUACGAAAAACCGUAGUCUCGGCUACGGACCGCGUCGGAAAAAGGACCCGGCGUAAUUGUAAAUGGGCGCGAAACGUUCGAAAACGUAUAAUAUGGCGACAGGCGAGCACGCGAAGAACGACUACGGCGCACCGUGU
This is a non-coding RNA of Cinara cedri, 512 nucleotides long. The record is from the annotation of a GenBank genome assembly. Lineage: Eukaryota; Metazoa; Arthropoda; Insecta; Hemiptera; Aphididae.